This is a non-coding RNA of Myotis brandtii (Brandt's bat), 73 nucleotides long. Lineage: Eukaryota; Metazoa; Chordata; Mammalia; Chiroptera; Vespertilionidae. The record is from Rfam.
GCCAGUUUGGCUCAAUGGAUAGAGCGUUGGACUGAGGACUGAAGGGUCCUGGGUUCGAUUCCCACCAAGGGCA